Molecule: long non-coding RNA, 223 nt
Organism: Amphimedon queenslandica
Lineage: Eukaryota; Metazoa; Porifera; Demospongiae; Haplosclerida; Niphatidae
Exons: 3
Source: RefSeq, a predicted model, not a curated record
GUGCAAAAAGAUCACAAGUAUUUCUUGUGAUUUGGUCAUGUGAAUAGGAACAGACAGAGCUCAGAGAGACAAGAAAGAAGCAAUGGCCUUUAGAAAAACAGAUCCUAAAGAGCAAAUGCGACAGCAGCAGAAAGUGUUAAAGAAAACAGGACGAGAGCUUGAGAGAGACCGUGGGCAGUUGGAGAGGCAAGAGAAGCAACUGGAAGCUGAGAUAAAGAAAGCU